CUCCCGGAUUCUGCGGCGGACGGGUGAGUAAUGCCUAGGAAUCUGCCUGGUAGUGGGGGAUAACGUCCGGAAACGGGCGCUAAUACCGCAUACGUCCUGAGGGAGAAAGUGGGGGAUCUUCGGACCUCACGCUAUCAGAUGAGCCUAGGUCGGAUUAGCUAGUUGGUGGGGUAAAGGCCUACCAAGGCGACGAUCCGUAACUGGUCUGAGAGGAUGAUCAGUCACACUGGAACUGACACACGGUCCAGACUCCUACGGGAGGCAGCAGUGGGGAAUAUUGGACAAUGGGCGAAAGCCUGAUCCAGCCAUGCCGCGUGUGUGAAGAAGGUCUUCGGAUUGUAAAGCACUUUAAGUUGGGAGGAAGGGCAGUAAGUUAAUACCUUGCUGUUUUGACGUUACCAACAGAAUAAGCACCGGCUAACUUCGUGCCAGCAGCCGCGGUAAUACGAAGGGUGCAAGCGUUAAUCGGAAUUACUGGGCGUAAAGCGCGCGUAGGUGGUUCAGCAAGUUGGAUGUGAAAUCCCCGGGCUCAACCUGGGAACUGCAUCCAAAACUACUGAGCUAGAGUACGGUAGAGGGUGGUGGAAUUUCCUGUGUAGCGGUGAAAUGCGUAGAUAUAGGAAGGAACACCAGUGGCGAAGGCGACCACCCUGGACUGAUACUGACACUGAGGUGCGAAAGCGUGGGGAGCCAACAGGAUUAGAUCCCCUGGUAGUCCACGCCGAAACGAUGUCAA
Molecule: ribosomal RNA, 736 nt
Filed under: Pseudomonas sp. N79
Lineage: Bacteria; Pseudomonadati; Pseudomonadota; Gammaproteobacteria; Pseudomonadales; Pseudomonadaceae
Description: bacterial SSU rRNA
Rfam family: Bacterial small subunit ribosomal RNA
Source: RNAcentral